CGGACCGGCGCACGGGUGAGUAACGCGUAUGCAACUUACCUAUCAGAGGGGGAUAACCCGGCGAAAGUCGGACUAAUACCGCAUAAAGCAGGGAUCCCGCAUGGGAAUAUUUGCUAAAGAUUCAUCGCUGAUAGAUAGGCAUGCGUUCCAUUAGGCAGUUGGCGGGGUAACGGCCCACCAAACCGACGAUGGAUAGGGGUUCUGAGAGGAAGGUCCCCCACAUUGGUACUGAGACACGGUCCAA
Molecule: ribosomal RNA, 244 nt
Filed under: uncultured bacterium
Lineage: Bacteria
Description: partial 16S ribosomal RNA
Rfam family: Bacterial small subunit ribosomal RNA
Source: RNAcentral